RNAcentral lists this ribosomal RNA (253 nucleotides) under uncultured bacterium. RNAcentral's name for it is "partial 16S ribosomal RNA". It matches the Rfam family "Bacterial small subunit ribosomal RNA", at positions 524 to 776 of the family's 1533-position model. The record is from RNAcentral.
UACGAAGGGGGCUAGCGUUGUUCGGAAUUACUGGGCGUAAAGCGCGUGUAGGCGGGUCCUUAAGUCAGGGGUGAAAUGCCAAGGCUCAACCUUGGAACUGCCUUUGAUACUGGGGAUCUUGAGUCCGGGAGAGGUGAGUGGAAUUCCGAGUGUAGAGGUGAAAUUCGUAGAUAUUCGGAGGAACACCAGUGGCGAAGGCGGCUCACUGGUCCGGUACUGACGCUGAGGUGCGAAAGCGUGGGGAGCAAACAGG